CUCGUAGGUGGCCAACUAAGUCAUACGUGAAAUCCCUCGGCUUAACCGGGGAACUGCGUCUGAUACUGGAUGGCUUGAGUUUGGGAGAGGGAUGCGGAAUUCCAGGUGUAGCGGUGAAAUGCGUAGAUAUCUGGAGGAACACCGGUGGCGAAGGCGGCAUCCUGGACCAACACUGACACUGAGGAGCGAAAGCCAGGGAGCAAACG
RNAcentral lists this ribosomal RNA (206 nucleotides) under uncultured bacterium. Its description in RNAcentral is "partial 16S ribosomal RNA". It matches the Rfam family "Bacterial small subunit ribosomal RNA", at positions 568 to 774 of the family's 1533-position model. The record is from RNAcentral.